RNAcentral lists this ribosomal RNA (253 nucleotides) under uncultured bacterium. RNAcentral describes it as "partial 16S ribosomal RNA". It matches the Rfam family "Bacterial small subunit ribosomal RNA", at positions 524 to 776 of the family's 1533-position model. The record is from RNAcentral.
UACGGAGGGUGCAAGCGUUAUCCGGAUUCACUGGGCUUAAAGGGUGCGUAGGUGGGCAGGUAAGUCAGUGGUGAAAUCCUUGAGCUUAACUCGAGAACUGCCAUUGAUACUAUCUGUCUUGAAUGUUGUGGAGGUGAGCGGAAUAUGUCAUGUAGCGGUGAAAUGCUUAGAUAUGACAUAGAACAUCUAUUGCGAAGGCAGCUCACUACGCAAAUAUUGACACUGAGGCACGAAAGCGUGGGGAUCAAACAGG